UUUAGGUAUGGAGACCUGGUACCAUUGAGCCCUCACGGCAAGAUUGUCGGCUCAAUGUGUGCCCUCAUCGGAGUGCUCACGUUGGCUCUGCCGGUGCCCAUCAUUGUAAGUGCU
Nippostrongylus brasiliensis is the source of this 114-nucleotide non-coding RNA. The record is from Rfam. Lineage: Eukaryota; Metazoa; Nematoda; Chromadorea; Rhabditida; Heligmosomidae.